AUUCUGGUCGGGGGAGGGAGGAGGCGGAAUAAACAGAAAGUGUAAGAAAUAAGUUACGUGGUGUUGAAGGUGAUAAGGACCACCGGAAGGACAACCCAGGCUAAGAGGUACGAAGAGUUCGGGAGGGCGCUGGGCGGUCUGUGGUGGUUCUAAGUGUCAUGGUGAAAAACGUAAAUGGGCACACACUCAAGUGAGAGAAAGUUUACCACCCCUGGCCGAAAAGCCACGAGGGCAAGUAUCAUCUUACAAAGCACCGGCUUCAGAUGAGAAAACCGGGGCUCCCAAAGGUCUGGCAACUCACCCACAGCAGUGACCGAUGCGGGCUGAGGUCCUAGGUCUGCACGCCCCGGAGUUAGCACGCCUAAGUGCCCUGCGACGGCUGCCCGCCCCCACUGGAGAUGGGGUGGGCAGGCAGACACGCGCACAUCUCCCCCAGAGUUCAAUGUGGAAUAAUUAAAACACGCACAAAAGCAAAGAGAAAAGGAAAAUCAACCCCCAUGAGCGCAUCACUCAGCUGCGGUCAUGAUUAAUUCAACCACUCUCGCUUCGCCCACACACUCCCCGGAUCCCUGGAUUAUUUAGACCAUAUCACUGUGGUGCUCUUCUAAAAGUAUCGAUUCCUAAGCUACUCCCUCUGAAUUUUCUGAUUCAGUAAGUCAGGACUGGGGUCUGAGAAUCUGUAUGUUUUUAUCAGUUCCUCGGGUUUCGGAAGCUAUAGUAUAAAGAAACGAACAUGGGUUCUACAGCAGGCAGGUCCUAGUAUGAGUCCUGGCUUUGCCCAAGCUAUGCAACUUUGGGUGAAAAUUCACAAUUUUUAGACUUUUUGUCUCGAAGAACCACCACCUCUGUCAACUUGUGGUCCACUGAGACUGUCUGAUUGUUUUCAUGUUAAAUAAAUGUGAUCAA
Molecule: long non-coding RNA, 906 nt
Organism: Neofelis nebulosa (Clouded leopard)
Lineage: Eukaryota; Metazoa; Chordata; Mammalia; Carnivora; Felidae
Exons: 4
Source: RefSeq, a predicted model, not a curated record